RNAcentral lists this ribosomal RNA (462 nucleotides) under uncultured bacterium. RNAcentral's name for it is "bacterial SSU rRNA". It matches the Rfam family "Bacterial small subunit ribosomal RNA", at positions 36 to 518 of the family's 1533-position model. The record is from RNAcentral.
CUGGCGGCGUGCUUCAUACAUGCAAGUCGAACGAGAAGCUGACUUCGGUCAGUAGAAAGUGGCGGACGGGUGAGUAAUGUGUAGAGAAUCUGCCCUAGAGUGGGGGACAACAGUUGGAAACGACUGCUAAUACCGCAUAUGAGCGUACCUGAAAUGGUAUUCUUGAAAACUCCGGUGCUCUGGGAUGAGUCUGCAUCUGAUUAGCUAGUUGGCGGUGUAAUGGACCACCAAGGCGACGAUCAGUAGCUGGUUUGAGAGGAUGAUCAGCCACAAUGGGACUGAGACACGGCCCAUACUCCCACGGGAGGCAGCAGUAGGGAAUUUUGCGCAAUGGGGGAAACCCUGACGCCAGCAACGCCGCGUGAUUGAAUAAGCCCUUCGGGGUGUAAAGAUCUGUCAGUAGGGACGAAACUUGACGGUACCUACAGAGGAAGCAUCGGCUAACUCCGUGCCAGCCGCAGC